Non-coding RNA from Electrophorus electricus (electric eel), 414 nucleotides. The record is from RefSeq and is a predicted model, not a curated record. NCBI's taxonomy places the organism in Eukaryota, Metazoa, Chordata, Actinopteri, Gymnotiformes, Gymnotidae.
GAGAGAGCAGAGUCUCCAGCACCCAGCUGUGUGUCUCUGAAGAGUGACUGGUCCAUAGGUGAUUUUCCUAACUUCAGCAAUGGACCUGUGCCGUCUGACCCAAAGGUAAAGAGAGCAGAGUCUCCAGCACCCAGCUGUGUGUCUCUGAAGAGUGAUGCGUCCAUGGGUGAUUUUCCUAACUUCAGCAAUGGAACUGUGCCGUCUGACCCAAAGUGAGUGACGCAUCACACACUCAGAUUCUUUCAUUAUUGUAGGUGUGGAAGGGUGGAGGGUGCUGUUCUGUCAGUAAUGUAAGGUCUACUCCAUCUUCACUGUUUUAAGAUCAUUUGUAAGGUGUGUUAAUGAUGAUCACUGAGUGAUGAUGACAAUCAACAAUUCAACAAAACAACAAUGUGUGUGUGUGUUGCUGAAGGG